RNAcentral lists this ribosomal RNA (270 nucleotides) under uncultured bacterium. RNAcentral describes it as "partial 16S ribosomal RNA". The record is from RNAcentral.
CUGCUGCCUUCCGUAGGAGUCUGGGCCGUGUCUCAGUCCCAGUGUGGCCGUCCACCCUCUCAGGCCGGCUGCUGAUCGUCGCUUUGGUGGGCCGUUACCCCGCCAACUGGCUAAUCAGACGCGGGCCCAUCCUGUACCACCGGAGUUUUCAAAGGAUUACCAUGCGGUAUUCCCUAUUAUGCGGUAUUAGCACCUAUUUCUAAGUGUUAUCCCCCGGUACAGGGCAGGUUGCCCACGCGUUACUCACCCGUCCGCCACUAAGUAACCCUA